AUGAAGUCUUAUCAUAGAAGCCUGUAAUCAUUUCUUGUAAGGUCCUAAGAACACUGUCAUUACGGGCUGAAUGGUGAAAAUACUUAGAUAAGAAAAUAGCAGGCAUGAGUCCUGAAGAAAUUUAAGCAACCCUGGACUGCAGGACAUCUUGGUUCCAGUCACAAGAAAACGUGUUCUUCAUCACAGGGGUCCGAACAUCAAUCAAGUGCUCUUGUUUAUGCUGUAAGAACCUUACUCGUUCAGUCAUCUUCCCAGGU
Long non-coding RNA from Mastomys coucha (southern multimammate mouse), 257 nucleotides. RefSeq lists it as uncharacterized. The transcript has 3 exons. NCBI's taxonomy places the organism in Eukaryota, Metazoa, Chordata, Mammalia, Rodentia, Muridae. The record is from RefSeq and is a predicted model, not a curated record.